This 491-nucleotide ribosomal RNA is filed under the name uncultured bacterium. RNAcentral's name for it is "partial 16S ribosomal RNA". It matches the Rfam family "Bacterial small subunit ribosomal RNA", at positions 29 to 507 of the family's 1533-position model. The record is from RNAcentral.
AGUGAACGCUGGCGGUAGGCCUAACACAUGCAAGUCGAACGGCAGCACAGUAAGAGCUUGCUCUUACGGGUGGCGAGUGGCGGACGGGUGAGGAAUACAUCGGAAUCUACUUUUUCGUGGGGGAUAACGUAGGGAAACUUACGCUAAUACCGCAUACGACCUACGGGUGAAAGCAGGGGAUCUUCGGACCUUGCGCGAUUGAAUGAGCCGAUGUCGGAUUAGCUAGUUGGCGGGGUAAAGGCCCACCAAGGCGACGAUCCGUAGCUGGUCUGAGAGGAUGAUCAGCCACACUGGAACUGAGACACGGUCCAGACGCCUACGGGAGGCAGCAGUGGGGAAUAUUGGACAAUGGGCGCAAGCCUGAUCCAGCCAUACCGCGUGGGUGAAGAAGGCCUUCGGGUUGUAAAGCCCUUUUGUUGGGAAAGAAAAGCAGAGGUUAAUACCCCGCUGUUCUGACGGUACCCAAAGAAUAAGCACCGGCUAACUUCGUG